GGGAGUAGCUCAGUUGGUAGAGCACCGGUCUCCAAAACCGGGUGUCGGGAGUUCGAGCCUCUCCUCCGACU
Molecule: transfer RNA, 71 nt
Filed under: Bacteroides sp. 43_46
Lineage: Bacteria; Pseudomonadati; Bacteroidota; Bacteroidia; Bacteroidales; Bacteroidaceae
Description: tRNA-Trp
Rfam family: tRNA
About the family: Transfer RNA (tRNA) molecules are approximately 80 nucleotides in length. Their secondary structure includes four short double-helical elements and three loops (D, anti-codon, and T loops). Further hydrogen bonds mediate the characteristic L-shaped molecular structure. tRNAs have two regions of fundamental functional importance: the anti-codon, which is responsible for specific mRNA codon recognition, and the 3' end, to which the tRNAs corresponding amino acid is attached (by aminoacyl-tRNA synthetases). tRNAs cope with the degeneracy of the genetic code in two manners: having more than one tRNA (with a specific anti-codon) for a particular amino acid; and 'wobble' base-pairing, i.e. permitting non-standard base-pairing at the 3rd anti-codon position.
Source: RNAcentral